AGAGUUUGAUCCUGGCUCAGGACGAACGCUGGCGGCGUGCUUAACACAUGCAAGUCGAGCGGGGAUAUUUGCCGGAGAGCUUCGGCAGGAAGGCAGAUAUUCCAGCGGCGGACGGGUGAGUAACGCGUGAGCAAUCUGUCCCAGACAGGGGGAUAACACUGUGAAAACAGUGCUAAUACCGCAUAAGACCACGAAGCGGCAUCGCUAUGAGGUAAAAGAAUUAUCGGUUUGGGGUGAGCUCGCGUCCCAUUAGAUAGUUGGUGAGGUAACGGCCCACCAAGUCGACGAUGGGUAGCCGACCUGAGAGGGUGAUCGGCCACAUUGGAACUGAGACACGGUCCAGACUCCUACGGGAGGCAGCAGUGGGGAAUAUUGGGCAAUGGGCGAAAGCCUGACCCAGCAACGCCGCGUGAAGGAAGAAGGUUUUCGGAUUGUAAACUUCUGUCCUAAGUGACGAAGGAAGUGACGGUAGCUUAGGAGGAAGCCCCGGCUAACUACGUGCCAGCAGCCGCGGUAAUACGUAGGGGGCGAGCGUUGUCCGGAAUGACUGGGCGUAAAGGGCGUGUAGGCGGCUCUUUAAGUAUGGAGUGAAACCCCAGCUUUCAAGGUUGGGCAUGCUUUGUAGACUGGAGAGCUUGAGUGCGGAAGAGGUAAGUGGAAUUCCCAGUGUAGCGGUGAAAUGCGUAGAGAUUGGGAGGAACACCAGUGGCGAAGGCGACUUACUGGGCCGUAACUGACGCUGAGGCGCGAAAGCGUGGGGAGCGAACAGGAUUAGAUACCCUGGAAGUCCACGCUGUAAACGAUGAAUACUAAGUGUUGGCCCCCGAAGGGUGUCGGUGCCUGCCGCAAACCCCAUAAGUAUUCCCUCCUGGGGAGUACUUACGCCAGUAUGAAACUCAAAGGAAAUUGACGGGGACCCGCACAAGCGGGGGAGCCAUGUGGUUUUAUUUGAAAGCAACGCGAAGACCCUUACCAGGUCUUGACAUUGGAAUGACAGGUUGGUAACGCGACCCUUCUUUGGGGACAUUCCACACAGGGGGUGCAUGGUUGUUGUCAGCUCGUGUCGUGAGAUGUUGGGUUAAGUCCCGCAACGAGCGCAACCCCUGUUUCUAGUAGCCAGCAGUAAGAUGGGAACUCUAGAGAGACUGCCCGGGACAAUCGGGAGGAAGGCGGGGAUGACGUCAAAUCAUCAUGCCCCUUAUGACCUGGGCUACACACGUGCUACAAUGGCGUAAACAGAGGGACGCAAACCCGCGAGGGUGAGCAAAUCCGAUAAAGUACGUCUCAGUUCGGACUGUGGCCUGCAACCCGGCCACACGAAGCCGGAAUCGCUAGUAAUCGCAGAUCAGCAUGCUGCGGUGAAUACGUUCCCGGGUCUUGCACUCAAGGCCCGUCA
This 1396-nucleotide ribosomal RNA is filed under the name uncultured bacterium. Its description in RNAcentral is "bacterial SSU rRNA". It matches the Rfam family "Bacterial small subunit ribosomal RNA". The record is from RNAcentral.